This 435-nucleotide unclassified non-coding RNA is filed under the name Hevea brasiliensis (rubber tree). The record is from RNAcentral. Lineage: Eukaryota; Viridiplantae; Streptophyta; Magnoliopsida; Malpighiales; Euphorbiaceae.
AGUAUAAUUGACAAGGUAAAUAGCACAAUCUCCUUAGUCUUACAGAAUUUGAAUUUGCCAUGCUAGUAAUUUACAAUAUUUGUAUAUUUUUGUAUAUAUAAUUGACGAGGUAAAUAGUUUUUAUCGUUAUCAGUCAAUUUUUUUUCUUAGUUAAUUAUUUUUAUUUAAAUCUACACGACAGUCACAAAACCACACACGAAGCCCUCACAACAGUGGGACUUUUCAUUUUUUAUUAAACUCAAUUCAAAAUUACAAAGUAAUUGCACAACCACACAAAAACAUCGUCACAACAAACAUAAAGCUAAACUCAUACCUAAUUAUGUAGACGUGCAUAGCCCAUCCCCACAUAUAUCUGUUUUGGACAAAACUCUAUAAACAAUGACCUUUCACAAAUCUAACAACAUUUAUACGAUGCCACACCAUAAAUUUGUCCCA